GACGAACGCUGGCGGCGUGCUUAACACAUGCAAGUCGAACGGAAAGGCCCUGCCUUUGUGGGGUGCUCGAGUGGCGAACGGGUGAGUAACACGUGAGUAACCUGCCCUUGACUUUGGGAUAACUUCAUGAAACUGGGGCUAAUACCGGAUAGGAGCUCCUGCUGCAUGGUGGGGGUUGGAAAGUUUCGGCGGUUGGGGAUGGACUCGCGGCUUAUCAGAUUGUUGGUGGGGUAGUGGCUUACCAAGGCUUUGACGGGUAGCCGGCCUGAGAGGGUGACCGGCCACAUUGGGACUGAGAUACGGCCCAGCCUCCUACGGGAGGCAGCAGUGGGGAAUAUUGCACAAUGGGCGGAAGCCUGAUGCAGCACAGCCGCGUGCGGGAUGACGGCCUUCGGGUUGUAAACCGCUUUCGCCUGUGACGAAGCGUGAGUGACGGUAAUGGGUAAAGAAGCACCGGCUAACUACGUG
RNAcentral lists this ribosomal RNA (468 nucleotides) under uncultured bacterium. Its description in RNAcentral is "partial 16S ribosomal RNA". It matches the Rfam family "Bacterial small subunit ribosomal RNA", at positions 28 to 507 of the family's 1533-position model. The record is from RNAcentral.